AUGAAGGAAGGCUGAGGGGUUAAAAUCAUUGCUGGGUGAUUUCACCACUACUGCCCCAUAUUCAUACUCUCGGUAAAUGAAUGAGGAGAGCCCCAUGUGGGAUUACAAACUUGCUGGAAAUGGAUGAGAAACCUUCUGCUCUGCUGGAGUUUAUCUUGAGUGUGCCUUAAAAUUCCAUUUCAUGGAGAACUGUGCGUGGUUGAAUUUUGAUUGAUUACUCAAUUAACUGAUGUAUUGGUAGAGUGAUUAAGAAAGAAGACUUUGGGAUCAGACCAACCUGGUUUUGAAUUCAAGCUCAGCAACUUACUAGGUAAGGAGGAGAAAAGAAAGAAGGAAAAAUUGGAAAGAUAAAUGGGGUCUUUCCAGUGAAGCCUCCAGGCCUCCAGACUGGAACUUAUACCACUGAUUCUUCUGAAUCUUAGGCCUUUGGACUUGGACUGGAACUAAACCAUCAGCUCUUCUUGUUCUACCACUUGCAGACUGUAUGUCUUGGGACAUGUCAGCCUCUGUAAUCACAUCAACCCUACUCUGAGCCUCCAGAGACUGACAUUUUUUAAUUUAAUUAAGAGGACCUCUUGCCCUCUGGACUGAGAUGGAUU
This 599-nucleotide long non-coding RNA is filed under the name Homo sapiens (human). RNAcentral's name for it is "HSALNT0335805". Lineage: Eukaryota; Metazoa; Chordata; Mammalia; Primates; Hominidae. The record is from RNAcentral.